UACGGAGGGUGCAAGCGUUACUCGGAAUUACUGGGCGUAAAGCGCACGCAGGCGGUUGGAUAAGUUAGAUGUGAAAGCCCCGGGCUCAACCUGGGAAUUGCAUUUAAAACUGUUCAGCUAGAGUCUUGUAGAGGGGGGUAGAAUUCCAGGUGUAGCGGUGAAAUGCGUAGAGAUCUGGAGGAAUACCGGUGGCGAAGGCGGCCCCCUGGACAAAGACUGACGCUCAGGUGCGAAAGCGUGGGGAGCAAACAGG
This 253-nucleotide ribosomal RNA is filed under the name uncultured bacterium. RNAcentral describes it as "partial 16S ribosomal RNA". It matches the Rfam family "Bacterial small subunit ribosomal RNA", at positions 524 to 776 of the family's 1533-position model. The record is from RNAcentral.